GUCCCUUCGGGGACAUCCGAUAAAAUUGGAACGAUACAGAGAAGAUUAGCAUGGCCCCUACGCAAGGAUGACACGCAAAAAUCAAGAAAUGGUCCAAAUUUUA
This 103-nucleotide small nuclear RNA is filed under the name Triticum dicoccoides. Lineage: Eukaryota; Viridiplantae; Streptophyta; Magnoliopsida; Poales; Poaceae. The record is from RNAcentral.